AUGCUUAACACAUGCAAGUCGAACGAGAAAGUGGAGCAAUCCAUGAGUAAAGUGGCGCACGGGUGAGUAACACGUGACUAACCUACCCUCGAGUGGGGAAUAACCUAGAGAAAUCUGGGCUAAUACCGCAUAACACUUACGAGUCAAAGCAGCAAUGCGCUUGAGGAGGGGGUCGCGGCCGAUUAGCUAGUUGGCGGGGUAAUGGCCCACCAAGGCGAUGAUCGGUAUCCGGCCUGAGAGGGCGCACGGACACACUGGAACUGAAACACGGUCCAGACUCCUACGGGAGGCAGCAGUGGGGAAUUUUGCGCAAUGGGGGAAACCCUGACGCAGCAACGCCGCGUGGAGGAUGAAAUCCCUUGGGUUGUAAAGCACUUUUAGUGGGGAUGAAAUGUGCAGGGUUAAUACCUCUGCAUUAUGACGGUACCGGAAGAAGAAGCCCCGGCUAACUACGUGCCAGCAGCCGCGGUAAGACGUAGGGGGCAAGCGUUGUUCGGAAUUAUUGGGCGUAAAGCGCUCGUAGGCGGGCUGGUAAGUCCGUGUUGAAAUCUCUGGGCUUAACUCAGAGCCUGCAGGCGAAACUGCCGUGCUGGAGUAUGGGAGAGGUGCGUGGAAUUCCCGGUGUAGCGGUGAAAUGCGUAGAUAUCGGAAGGAACACCAGUGG
This 664-nucleotide ribosomal RNA is filed under the name uncultured bacterium. RNAcentral describes it as "bacterial SSU rRNA". It matches the Rfam family "Bacterial small subunit ribosomal RNA", at positions 44 to 715 of the family's 1533-position model. The record is from RNAcentral.